Molecule: ribosomal RNA, 569 nt
Filed under: uncultured bacterium
Lineage: Bacteria
Description: partial 16S ribosomal RNA
Rfam family: Bacterial small subunit ribosomal RNA
Source: RNAcentral
UGGGGAAUAUUGCACAAUGGGCGAAAGCCUGAUGCAGCAACGCCGCGUGAGGGACGACGGCCUUCGGGUUGUAAACCUCUUUUAGCAAGGAAGAAGCGAAAGUGACGGUACUUGCAGAAAAAGCGCCGGCUAACUACGUGCCAGCAGCCGCGGUAAUACGUAGGGCGCAAGCGUUAUCCGGAAUUAUUGGGCGUAAAGAGCUCGUAGGCGGUUUGUCGCGUCUGCUGUGAAAACCCGAGGCUCAACCUCGGGCCUGCAGUGGGUACGGGCAGACUAGAGUGCGGUAGGGGAGAUUGGAACUCCUGGUGUAGCGGUGGAAUGCGCAGAUAUCAGGAAGAACACCGAUGGCGAAGGCAGAUCUCUGGGCCGUAACUGACGCUGAGGAGCGAAAGGGUGGGGAGCAAACAGGCUUAGAUACCCUGGUAGUCCACCCCGUAAACGUUGGGAACUAGUUGUGGGGUCCAUUCCACGGAUUCCGUGACGCAGCUAACGCAUUAAGUUCCCCGCCUGGGGAGUACGGCCGCAAGGCUAAAACUGCAAAGGAAUUGACGGGGUCAUAGCUGUUUCCU